Long non-coding RNA from Onychostoma macrolepis, 5674 nucleotides. RefSeq lists it as uncharacterized. The record is from RefSeq and is a predicted model, not a curated record. Lineage: Eukaryota; Metazoa; Chordata; Actinopteri; Cypriniformes; Cyprinidae. The transcript has 2 exons.
CAACUGGGUAAGUACAAUCUCUUCAGAAUUAUUAAGUAGGAGGUUUUUAAAGAUGAAACUCUGAUUUCAUUAUGAAUCUGUUUAAUCUAACAUAACUUCGUCUCAAAAAAACAAACAAACAAAAAAAAAAAACCAUUGAAUUUGAUGCUGUAAUAAAUCUUUAUUAUUAUCAAUUUUUGAAAAAAAACAAAAAACAAUUGAAGUUACAUUUUAUGAAGUCUAACUUUCAUCUGUAAUAAUACAAUGUCUUUGAAUUAUGCCUAAAUUUGUUUGGGAGAGUUUCUCAGAAAAUAUGUAAUUAUUAAAGAUAAAGUUAAUUACAUUUUAAUUCCAUUGACGUUCCUAAUGUAAAGUCAUUUCAGGUGGAAUGAUAUUGAAUAAAGUUGCCCUGUAUGUUUCUAUUAAAAAGUUUGAGAUUAGAUGUUUUUUUUAAAUAAUGUGAAGUCAGUUUUUGUAAUGUCUAAUAUAUAUCUUUAUCUGUAAUAAUGUCUUUGAAUUGUGCUCAUUUGUGAGUAGAUGUGUGAUAUUAAUUUGAUUCAAUUUUAUUUCGGUCGACAGCCCUAAUGUAAAGUAAUUUCUGGUGGAAUGACAUUUUGAAAUAAAGCUGCUUUUUAAAAACCAUAUUAAAUAAAUUUCAUAAUAGUCCUGGAUUAUUUGUGGUCUUAAGUGUUGUCAGGUGUUUUCUGUGAAAGUUGGCUGUUUUCAUUUUUAAUUCUUCACCCAUUUAACACGAUCCAAACAGCCUAGGCAAGGUUCUCGACAGAGUUUGGCUCCAUCAAAUGUUUUCACUGCAUGCUAGAAACACUCCAUAUAUGGUGUGAUCAGUAGGCACGUCAUGAUUACGUCAAUGAAAAUGUAAAAGAAAGCAACAGGGACAGGAAGCACUUUUUUUCUUAAUGUGAAGUCACUUUUGUAAUGGUUAAUCCAUGUAAUAAUAUAAUGCACUUGAAUUAUGCUCAUUUGGGAGCCUUUCUCAGCAAAUGUGUGAUUACUAAAGAUUAAUUAGAUUACAUUUUACGCUGGUUGACAGCUCUAAUGUAAAGCUAUUUCUGGUGGAAUGACGUAUUGAAUUAAGUUGCUUUUUAAAUAAACCAUAUUAAAUAAAAUCAUCCUGGAUUAUUUGUGAUUUUACAUGUGUCAGGUGUUUUCUGCAGAAGCUGGCUGUUUAAAUUUUUUAAUUCUUCACCCAUUUAAGAUGAUCCAAACAGCCUAGGCAAGUUUCUCAGCAGUGUUUGGCUCCAUCAUUUGCAUAUUUUAAGUGUUUUCCCGGCUAGAGAUCUUCUAGAGGAACUCCAUAUAUGAUGUGAUUAGUAGGUACGUCAUGUUUACGUCAAUGCAAUUGUAAGAGAAAGCAACAGGGACAGGAAACGGUUUUUUAAAUUUUUUUUAUGUGAAGUCACUUUUGUAAUGUUUAAUCCAUGUAACAAUAUAAUGUAUUUGAAUUAUGCUCAUUUGGGAGCCUUUCUCAGCAAUUGUGUGAUUAUUAAAGAUUAAUUAGAUUACAUUUUACGCUGGUUGACAGCUCUUAUGUAAAGCUAUUUCUGGUGGAAUGACAUAUUGUUUACGUCAUACAUGUUUACGUCAAUGCAAAUGUAAGGAAAAGGAAUAGGGACAAAGAUAUAAAGGUGUGAUGUGGUAUUUUGUGCUACAAAAUUAUUCAUACGAACAAUCUUGUGUAACAGAAUUGUUAAUUUUUAAAAAAUAAAGCUGAUUUCAUAAAUAAUCAUUAAUAUUGUAAAAAAUAUAUAUUAUAUUAGAGGUGUAGGCCUUCUUUUACUCUGUUUACAUGUAUUUGCUGCACUGUUAGACAUUUCAAAGGGUUUUUACAGUAACUUACUGGCAACACUGUUGCCAGUAAGUUACUGUAAUUAAGAUUUACAGUAGCAAACUGUAUUUGAUUUAGCAGUAUACUACUGUAAUUCAUUCAUUUUAAUAUAGAUUUCAUUAGAUUUUAUAAUUUUUAUAUAGAAUUCAUUUUAUUUUUACUCUACAUAGGUAUUCAAUUAAAACAGACACAAUAAUUAGUUAAUAAUUGCUAGUAAAAAACCAUUUUUAAUUUGUUAACAAUUCAAUAAGCUAACAAAAGUCGUUUGAAACGACAGCGCAGUUUACCAUGGUAAAGUUCUGUAACCGCCAUGUUGAAAAUUAAAAAAGUAAAUGUUACUAGGUUAAACUGGUGUGCAAAAAUCUGACACAAACACACAGACAAACGUACAUAUAUUUUUACCUUGCUUGCUGGUCUUAUUCUCUCGUAAGGUGCAUCGACACACAGCGCAGAUGUUCUCCGGAGCUCUCCCACUCUCGCGGGUUCAUCCCCGGGCAAAACCCGACAACAGACAACAAUAUAGAACCCAUUAUAUAUAUUAUCUACAGUGAAUGCGGACAGUAAACCGAUGCCCCGGUAUAUUUCUGACGUGCAGAUGCACUCCAAGCACUCGUGCUGUUUCUGACACGAAGUACAAACGGAUUUUCCAAUCAUUAGAAGCGAUGUAACACGUCCAGUGUAGUCAGUCCCAAGCUGCUGCGGCGUUGUAGACACGGUGCAGGGCAAAUUGUCAAUCCAAAUCUAAGAAAUGAGGAAAAUAAAACGACCUCAGUAUAAUGGCGCCAAAGAGACCAUUACAGUAGUAUACAGCAAUUUAAAAAAAUACAGUAAGUCUCUGUAUGUGGAGUCUGACGUCACAGAAAAUUCCCAUGAUGCAAAGAGUAUUACAGUUAUUUACUGUAAAGGUAAUUUGCAGUAUUACACUGGGUGAUAUACAGUAAAUAACUGUGGAAAUUACAGAAAUGUCUAACAGUGUGUAUACUAGGUGAAUACAGGUAAAGUAGGACCACAAAUGUUCUUGUGAUUCAUGUGAUCAUGACUCAUUUUUCUUACAGAAAAAAAAAAACCCUCAUUGUUUCUGUGGUCACUGAAAUCUAGCAUCAGCGUUAGUUCUGGCAGGUCAAGUUAGUCAAGCUCGCAUCAGCUGACUCUCAGCUGAUCCACAUCUACCUAUAGGGAUGCAACACCUAUCACAGCACUCAUAUAUAAGGUCCAUCAGUAUUAUCACCAGCUUCGCGUUGCUCAAUAGCUAAUUACCCACCUCCAUCCCCAACUCCUCCUCUGUCAGUCAGGAUUCAGCCUUCCGAUUCUCCUUUGAAUCGGACUAAUCUCUAAAAUGUUACAUUAAAUUACUGAACUUUAAUGAUAUCUGCAAUACAUUUUAUGUUGGUUCUGUUCUGUGUACCCUGGGGGGUUAUUGCUGCUCUUAUCCAUAGGCUGCAUGGAUGCACAGGAAGUUCUUCCCCAGAACAGAACCAGACCGCCAAUCCAAACUGUAUGCUAAUUGUCAGUCAUCUUUGACCAUAGUGGUCCUGACAGAAAUGAUUUAUUAGCAUCUCUCAAACAUCAUUCUGAGUUAUUCCUGGGAUUCGGAACUACAUAUGAUUCAUUUUCUAAAUGCCCCACAUAAUUAGGCACAUGUCAAACCUCCAAAAUAAAAUCAUAUUUUCCCACCUCAAGCAUUAACAACUUUUUAUUAUUUUCAGGUUUUUUUUUUUUCAGAUUGAGAUGGCUUUUUUCUCAACCCCGUAACGGACAAAAUUGGUUUAAAAAGGAUUUUACACAGAAUAUUUUGUUUUUAUAAAACAAACAUUACUGCUCACGUGUACUGCUCAAAUGUGACAACAAAUGUAACAUUUAUCACAUUUUUCACAUUUUUACAGGACUGCAGCUAAAAAUACACAAAUUGUGUGUCUAUGGUGACUUUAUUUUUGUAAAAAAUAUUUUUAAUUUAGAAGUUUAACUAAAACCACAAUUUUAUGGUUUUAGUCCUUAACAUGUCAGAUAAUAAUCGGCAAGAAAUGCUUUCAUUCUUAAUUGUCUUCCCUAUAUUUUUCCAAAAAUAUUAAUGUGACAGGGUUGAAGUCUGUAACACAUUUGAAGGGAUACAUUGCCUUCAAUUUAAACUUUUCGAUUUGUUUCUCUUUCAAAGUUUAAAUGGACAUAUUACAUCAAAAAAUCUAUUUAUAACAAAAAUAUGAGUUGUCGUGAUUUUGGUGAGUACUAUAUAUAUUUGCUGAAACCAUGACUAUUUUAUAUAUUUUUUUCAUUAAAAUUAUUAAUAAAUGAAAUAACUCAACUCAAAAAAAAAAAAAACUCAAAAGUUUACAACCCCAUAACAAUGAGAAAUACAUGUGACGGGGUUGAGGUUUUUCACUCAAAAUGGCCACUGCUAGACUGUAUAUGGCAGCAAUAAAACAUGUACAUUGUAUAUACUUAUGGAUUAAAAUAAAAUGUUGAAAAAUAAUCAUUUUCCAUCUUUGUUAACAGUACCCUCCCUGACUAUAAUAUGCCUCAAAAAUAUGAAUAAAAAGUAUGAUACUACUAACCAUUUUCUGCACCACUAUUAAGAGACCUGAAUGAUGUCAUUUCUAAAUUAUUAUGGGCGUAGAAUGGAUAGUGUGACAGGGUUGAGUUCAGACUGAGGGACGUAACUUUAAAGUCUGUUUUUUAUAAAAUAUCUUGCAGUUUUUUUUAGAAAAAUAUUCUUCACAAGAAAGGAACACAAAUAAAUGCUUACAUUAUGGCCAAAAAUCACAGACAUGCACAUUCUGUAAACUCAGUAAAGUGCCUCAAGGACAUGACAAAAUGCUUGGUUUAAGAUAGAUACAAGACAUUAUUUUAUCCUAAAAAAUACUAAAAUGUAACAAUUAUUUUUAUUCAUUAUAAUGGGCAUACCAAUAUUGUGAAAAGCUUUGAACAAUUAAUUUUGGUAAACCACCACUUUAGAAAAUAUUACCGAAUCCCAUGACUCCUAACAAUUUUGUCUGCGCUUUGAAAUGGGAAUUUUUUUUUCUUUAAAAAAAUUUUGUUCUUUAUUUAUUUGGAAUCAUUUUACAUAUGACAGUGACAUGCAGGAUAUGAUAUAAAUACCAGGCUAAAAAAAAAAAAAAAAAAACAGCCAAAGCAGGUUUGCAGGUUUUCUCCCCAUCAUUCUUAUUUAGAGGGGUUUGAUACACUUUUCAAGUGGUCAGCAAAUCACCUUUUGUUAAAAAAAAAGAAAGAAAAAAAGAAAGAAACAGAGAUAUAAACCAUCUCUAAACCUUUUGUAAGUGUUCUGAUGUUGUGUAAAAAAUCUUUGGGCCAAGUUUAAUCCAGUAAUCAAGCAUGGCAGCUGCAAUUGGAACAUGUAUUUAUAUUGUGCAAUCAAGAAGAAUAUAAUUGUUUGUCUUCAAUGAUAUCAUAGGUUCAGAUUCUACCAUGAUGCAUAGGUAUAACAAUGUUAUACAGGAGAAGCAGAGAGAAAGGUACUCUUCUUAGAUAACGUACAAAUAAAGGUCAUUUUUAUCUCUUUAGUUACUAUGUGGAGCAUGGGGAUCGCUACAAGACGGCUUAAUGAAUUUGUUUUUGUGAAAACCUUAAAUUCGACAAAAACUGACAUUUUUCACUUCUUUUGUCUGUAGCUCAAAAUUAAACAGUGAGAAUCUGACUCAUUUUGCCAGCACGGGUCACAAUUGUAGAUGAUGUUAUGAAACAAUCUGACAUCUUUUCACAGAUACAAUAAAGGACAGUUUUCACCCAUGGCUGAAAAAAUGGAAUUACAGGGACAAAGAAAAAGUAGGGUGGCCAUCAAAGAUGAAGGGAGAAGAAAGGAGUGCACGACCGCCACUGAAACAAUAACAUCAUCAG